Molecule: ribosomal RNA, 254 nt
Filed under: uncultured bacterium
Lineage: Bacteria
Description: partial 16S ribosomal RNA
Rfam family: Bacterial small subunit ribosomal RNA
Source: RNAcentral
UACGUAGGCAGCGAGCGUUGUUCGGAGUUACUGGGCGUAAAGGGUGUGUAGGCGGUUGUUUAAGUUUGGUGUGAAAUCUCCCGGCUCAACUGGGAGGGUGCGCCGAAUACUGAGCGACUAGAGUGCGGGAGAGGAAAGUGGAAUUCCUGGUGUAGCGGUGAAAUGCGUAGAUAUCAGGAGGAACACCGGUGGUGUAGACGGCUUUCUGGACCGUAACUGACGCUGAGACACGAAAGCGUGGGGUAGCAAACAGG